UACGUAGGGGGCAAGCGUUGUCCGGAAUCAUUGGGCGUAAAGAGCGUGUAGGCGGCCCGGUAAGUCCGCUGUGAAAGUCCAGGGCUCAACCCUGGGAUGCCGGUGGAUACUGUCGGGCUCGAGUCCGGAAGAGGAGUGUGGAAUUCCUGGUGUAGCGGUGAAAUGCGUAGAUAUCUGGAGGAACACCGGUGGCGAAGGCGGCAUCCUGGACCGGUAUUGACGCUGAGGCGCGAAAGCUAGGGGAGCAAACGGG
Molecule: ribosomal RNA, 253 nt
Filed under: uncultured bacterium
Lineage: Bacteria
Description: partial 16S ribosomal RNA
Rfam family: Bacterial small subunit ribosomal RNA
Source: RNAcentral